Molecule: transfer RNA, 73 nt
Organism: Halococcus hamelinensis 100A6
Lineage: Archaea; Methanobacteriati; Methanobacteriota; Halobacteria; Halobacteriales; Halococcaceae
Rfam family: tRNA
About the family: Transfer RNA (tRNA) molecules are approximately 80 nucleotides in length. Their secondary structure includes four short double-helical elements and three loops (D, anti-codon, and T loops). Further hydrogen bonds mediate the characteristic L-shaped molecular structure. tRNAs have two regions of fundamental functional importance: the anti-codon, which is responsible for specific mRNA codon recognition, and the 3' end, to which the tRNAs corresponding amino acid is attached (by aminoacyl-tRNA synthetases). tRNAs cope with the degeneracy of the genetic code in two manners: having more than one tRNA (with a specific anti-codon) for a particular amino acid; and 'wobble' base-pairing, i.e. permitting non-standard base-pairing at the 3rd anti-codon position.
Source: Rfam
GUCCUGGUUGGGUAGUGGACUAUCCUACUGGCCUGCGGAGCCGGUGACCGGAGUUCAAAUCUCCGCCAGGACG